RNAcentral lists this unclassified non-coding RNA (232 nucleotides) under uncultured fungus. RNAcentral's name for it is "sequence contains ITS1, 5.8S rRNA gene". The stretch from base 184 to 232 matches the Rfam family "5.8S ribosomal RNA", at positions 1 to 49 of the family's 154-position model. The record is from RNAcentral. Lineage: Eukaryota; Fungi.
UUUCCGUAGGUGAACCUGCGGAAGGAUCAUUAUCAAAAGUCAAGUCGGGGGCUGCAAAGCCUUCGUCUACACCCAUGUCUUUUGCGUACUUCUUGUUUCCUCGGUGGCGCAAGCCGCCGAUUGGACAAACCAAAACCUUUUUUGUAAUUGCAAUCAGGGUCUGAAAAUAAUCUAAUUAUUUACAACUUUCAACAACGGAUCUCUUGGUUCUGGCAUCGAUGAAGAACGCAGC